This is a long non-coding RNA of Corticium candelabrum, 321 nucleotides long. RefSeq lists it as uncharacterized. NCBI's taxonomy places the organism in Eukaryota, Metazoa, Porifera, Homoscleromorpha, Homosclerophorida, Plakinidae. The transcript is spliced from 3 exons. The record is from RefSeq and is a predicted model, not a curated record.
AGUCGUACAGUACCCGGUGUAACGUGACUUGUAAAGGUUCCUGAAGGAGGCAACUUCCGGGAAGUCUGUUCUGCCUUUGUGCAAAGGUGGAGAUGGAUUGAUAAUUGAAGAGACGGGAAACGUAUUCAUAAAAAAGAAGGAAAUGAAAAAUGGUAAUGAAAGUGGAGAGUAGAAAAGCUGAUUGCAUAAUGCCUGGAUAUCUUGUAUUCGGGCUGGAAUUUCAGUUGCUGAAGCCAGGAGAAGAGCUCGAGUCUCACGUAGCCAGACCCUAUCGCCGCGUCAAUACUUUCAGGUAUAUGAUGCAGCAGUAAUAGUUAAUAG